CCUACGGGAGGCAGCAGUGAGGAAUAUUGGUCAAUGGCCGAGAGGCUGAACCAGCCAAGUCGCGUGAGGGAAGACGGCCCUACGGGUUGUAAACCUCUUUUAUACGGGAAUAACGCGCCUUACGUGUAGGGCUUUGCAUGUACCGUAUGAAUAAGGACCGGCUAAUUCCGUGCCAGCAGCCGCGGUAAUACGGAAGGUCCGGGCGUUAUCCGGAUUUAUUGGGUUUACAGGGAGCGUAGGCCGCAUGUCAAGCGUGCUGUGAAAUGUCCGGGCUCAACCCGGGCCUUGCAGCGCGAACUGGCGUGCUUGAGUCCGCGGAAAGCAGGCGGAAUUCGUCGUGUAGCGGUGAAAUGCUUAGAUAUGACGAAGAACCCCGGUUGCGAAGGCAGCUUGCUGCAGCGGAACUGACGCUGAUGCUCGAAAGCGCGGGUAUCGAACAGGAUUAGAUACCCCGGUAGUC
Molecule: ribosomal RNA, 460 nt
Filed under: uncultured bacterium
Lineage: Bacteria
Description: partial 16S ribosomal RNA
Rfam family: Bacterial small subunit ribosomal RNA
Source: RNAcentral